This 570-nucleotide ribosomal RNA is filed under the name Krasilnikovozyma huempii. Its description in RNAcentral is "partial large subunit ribosomal RNA". It matches the Rfam family "Eukaryotic large subunit ribosomal RNA", at positions 62 to 619 of the family's 3401-position model. The record is from RNAcentral. Lineage: Eukaryota; Fungi; Basidiomycota; Tremellomycetes; Cystofilobasidiales; Mrakiaceae.
AAACUAACAAGGAUUCCCCUAGUAACGGCGAGUGAAGCGGGAUGAGCUCAAAUUUAAAAUCUGGCGGCCUCAGGUCGUCCGAGUUGUAGUCUAGAGAAGCGUUUUCCGCGUUGGCCUGUGUACAAGUCCCUUGGAAUAGGGCGUCAUAGAGGGUGAGAAUCCCGUCCUUGACACAGAUCCCAAUGCUUUGUGAUACGCUCUCAAAGAGUCGAGUUGUUUGGGAAUGCAGCUCAAAAUGGGUGGUAAAUUCCAUCUAAAGCUAAAUAUUGGCGAGAGACCGAUAGCGAACAAGUACCGUGAGGGAAAGAUGAAAAGCACUUUGGAAAGAGAGUUAAACAGUACGUGAAAUUGUUGAAAGGGAAACGAUUGAAGUCAGUCAUGCUUCUCUGGAUUCAGCUUGUUCUACAAGUGUAUUUCCAGUUUUGCAGGCCAGCAUCAGUUUUGUUUGAUGGAAAAAGCUUGAGGAACGUGGCAACCUCGGUUGUGUUAUAGCCUCUUUGCGCAUACAUCAGAUGGGACUGAGGAACGCAGUGUGCCUUUAUGGUCGGUCUUCGGACACGUACGCACUAG